UGCGUAGGCGGCGUCAUAAGUCAGAGGUGAAAUCCCACAGCUCAACUGUGGAACUGCCUUUGAUACUGGUUGUCUUGAGUUAUAGUGAAGUAGAUAGAAUAUGUAGUGUAGCGGUGAAAUGCAUAGAUAUUACAUAGAAUACCGAUUGCGAAGGCAGUCUACUAACUGUAUACUGACGCUAAUGGACGAAAGCGUGGGGAGCGAACAGGAUUAGAUACCCUGGUAGUCC
This 229-nucleotide ribosomal RNA is filed under the name uncultured bacterium. Its description in RNAcentral is "partial 16S ribosomal RNA". It matches the Rfam family "Bacterial small subunit ribosomal RNA", at positions 568 to 796 of the family's 1533-position model. The record is from RNAcentral.